Molecule: long non-coding RNA, 508 nt
Filed under: Salvia miltiorrhiza (redroot sage)
Lineage: Eukaryota; Viridiplantae; Streptophyta; Magnoliopsida; Lamiales; Lamiaceae
Description: long non-coding RNA (SMIL_LNC004478)
Source: RNAcentral
AAAAUAUUUCAUCUGUAAGAUUCUUGUUGCAAAAUAGUAUUAGGAAUUAUUCUGCAUUGGAAACCAUAAUUUAAGUGUGCGAGUAUGGGCCAUAUGAGGCUACCCAUAAAAAUGCUGGUUUGUAUUUAUUAGAAUUGUUUAAUGUUUUUUUUUUUGUUUUUCAUACUUUUUUAUUAACUUUUUAAAUCUCAAGUUGACCAACCUAAUUAUAAAUUUGUUGGCCAUUUCUAUAAUAUAUUGUCGUGAAAGUUGUACUUGCAUGUACUUGAAUUUGGAAAAAUUCUUAAUAAUACAAAAAACUUGACAUAAUGAGAUACUAAUUUAGAAAUGAGUGUUUCACGUGAAAAGAUUAAUGAACGUUUAUCUAACCGGCACUUUUGUCCCCGAGGGGACACCAAGCAGGUGCGAUCUCCUGUGUGUGAACAGUGAGAUCUCGAGUUCAAAUUCCAUUACUCUCCUUCCCCAACUCCCUCAAGUAAAAAAAAAAAAAAAAACAAAUCUAACCGGC